CCUAACACAUGCAAGUCGAACGGUAACAGGAAACAGCUUGCUGUUUCGCUGACGAGUGGCGGACGGGUGAGUAAUGUCUGGGAAACUGCCUGAUGGAGGGGGAUAACUACUGGAAACGGUAGCUAAUACCGCAUAACGUCGCAAGACCAAAGAGGGGGACCCUCGGGCCUCUUGCCAUCGGAUGUGCCCAGAUGGGAUUAGCUAGUAGGUGGGGUAACGGCUCACCUAGGCGACGAUCCCUAGCUGGUCUGAGAGGAUGACCAGCCACACUGGAACUGAGACACGGUCCAGACUCCUACGGGAGGCAGCAGUGGGGAAUAUUGCACAAUGGGCGCAAGCCUGAUGCAGCCAUGCCGCGUGUAUGAAGAAGGCCUUCGGGUUGUAAAGUACUUUCAGCGGGGAGGAAGGGAGUAAAGUUAAUACCUUUGCUCAUUGACGUUACCC
RNAcentral lists this ribosomal RNA (444 nucleotides) under uncultured bacterium. Its description in RNAcentral is "bacterial SSU rRNA". It matches the Rfam family "Bacterial small subunit ribosomal RNA", at positions 47 to 480 of the family's 1533-position model. The record is from RNAcentral.